UGCCCGGUGACCUAGUUCAACGGCCGCGGUAUCCUAACCGUGCAAAGGUAGCGCAAUCAAUUGUCCCAUAAAUCGAGACCUGUAUGAAUGGCUAAACGAGGUCUUAACUGUCUCUUACAGGCAAUCAGUGAAAUUGAUCUUCCUGUGCAAAAGCAGGAAUAAACCCAUAAGACGAGAAGACCCUGUGGAACUUCAAAAUCGCGGCCACACUUAAGUCACAUACAAACCCACCCCGGGCUCACUCCCUAUUAAGUUACUGGCACGCAUUUUUCGGUUGGGGCGACCUUGGAGAAAAACAAAUCCUCCAAAAACCAGACCACAACUCUUGACCAAGAGCAACCCCUCAACGUGCUAAUAGCAUCCAGACCCAAUACAAUUGAUCAAUGGACCAAGCUACCCCAGGGAUAACAGCGCAAUCUCCUUCGAGAGUCCGUAUCGACGAGGAGGUUUACGACCUCGAUGUUGGAUCAGGACAUCCUAGUGGUGCAGAGGCUACUAAGGGUUCGUU
Molecule: ribosomal RNA, 508 nt
Filed under: Gerygone mouki (brown gerygone)
Lineage: Eukaryota; Metazoa; Chordata; Aves; Passeriformes; Acanthizidae
Description: partial 16S ribosomal RNA
Rfam family: Bacterial large subunit ribosomal RNA
Source: RNAcentral